CCUACGGGUGGCUGCAGUGCGGAAUAUUGGUCAAUGGGCUUACGCCUGAACCAGCCAAGUCGCGUGCGGGAAGACUGCCCUACGGGUUGUAAACUGCUUUUAUACGGGAAUAACGCGCCUUACGUGUAGGGCUUUGCAUGUACCGUAUGAAUAAGGACCGGCUAAUUCCGUGCCAGCAGCCGCGGUAAUACGGAAGGUCCGGGCGUUAUCCGGAUUUAUUGGGUUUAAGGGGAGCGUAGGCCGCAUGUCAAGCGUGCUGUGAAAUGUCCGGGCUCAACCCGGGCCUUGCAGCGCGAACUGGCGUGCUUGAGUCCGCGGAAAGCAGGCGGAAUGCGUCGUGUAGCGGUGAAAUGCUUAGAUAUGACGAAGAACCCCGAUUGCGAAGGCAGCUUGCUGCAGCGGAACGGACGCUGAUGCUCGAAAGCGCGGGUAUCGAACAGGAUUAGAUACCCUGGUAGUC
Molecule: ribosomal RNA, 460 nt
Filed under: uncultured bacterium
Lineage: Bacteria
Description: partial 16S ribosomal RNA
Rfam family: Bacterial small subunit ribosomal RNA
Source: RNAcentral